GCCACCUUAGCUCAGUUGGUAGAGCAACGGUUUUGUAAACCGUAGGUCGUCAGUUCAAGUCUGACAGGUGGCUCAA
RNAcentral lists this transfer RNA (76 nucleotides) under Candidatus Vogelbacteria bacterium. RNAcentral's name for it is "tRNA-Thr". It matches the Rfam family "tRNA". Rfam says of the family: Transfer RNA (tRNA) molecules are approximately 80 nucleotides in length. Their secondary structure includes four short double-helical elements and three loops (D, anti-codon, and T loops). Lineage: Bacteria; Candidatus Vogeliibacteriota. The record is from RNAcentral.